Molecule: ribosomal RNA, 251 nt
Filed under: uncultured prokaryote
Description: partial 16S ribosomal RNA
Rfam family: Bacterial small subunit ribosomal RNA
Source: RNAcentral
ACAGAGGCGGCAAGCGUUGUUCGGAAUUAUUGGGCGUAAAGAGCAUGUAGGCGGCUAUGUAAGUCGGUUGUGAAAGCCUUCCGCUUAACGGAAGAAUGGCGGUCGAAACUGCAUGGCUUGAGUGCGGGAGGGGAGAGUGGAACUUCUGGUGGAGCGGUGAAAUGCGUAGAUAUCGGGAGGAACACCAGUGGCGAAAGCGGCGCCCUGGCACUGGCCUGACGCUCAUGUGCGAAAGCGUGGGGAGCGAACGG